Talpa occidentalis (Iberian mole) is the source of this 394-nucleotide long non-coding RNA. RefSeq lists it as uncharacterized. The transcript is spliced from 3 exons. NCBI's taxonomy places the organism in Eukaryota, Metazoa, Chordata, Mammalia, Eulipotyphla, Talpidae. The record is from RefSeq and is a predicted model, not a curated record.
CCCGGACUCUGCCUGCGCAAAGAAGGCCUAUACAAAGAAAGAAGUGAAAACUUGAAGAAGUGAUUAGAGUUGGAAGUUUAAUACCAUUUUAAUGAAGGGAAAAGUUACUGGACAACAAAAGAAGAGUUUUAGGGACCAUAAAUUAUGUGGCUUUUUAGGUUUCCUGGCUCCUUUGGGGCUUAUUGUUUGGAAGAGUCAGUGCAAGUUUGUCAAUAGUAGCCCUGAGUCUACCUAAACUAUUUCGUGGCCAGAAACUGACAGUGAAACAUUUCAACAGAAACCAAGCCCUCCAAAGUGAACUUUCUAAAUGGUGUGCUGAAUCUGAGAAUUUCAACCUUAUUUUUCUGUUGGGUAAAAAUCAUUCUCUUUUAUUGUCCUGUACUCACUUUUAUUU